RNAcentral lists this ribosomal RNA (996 nucleotides) under Dicyma funiculosa. RNAcentral describes it as "SSU rRNA". It matches the Rfam family "Eukaryotic small subunit ribosomal RNA", at positions 94 to 1100 of the family's 1831-position model. Lineage: Eukaryota; Fungi; Ascomycota; Sordariomycetes; Xylariales. The record is from RNAcentral.
UGGCUCAUUAAAUCAGUUAUCGUUCAUUUGAUAGUACCUUACUACUUGGAUAACCGUGGUAAUUCUAGAGCUAAUACAUGCUAAAAAUCCCGACUCACGGAGGGAUGUAUUUAUUAGAUUAAAAACCAAUGCCCUUCGGGGCUUCCUGGUGAUUCAUAAUAACUUCACGAAUCGCAUGGCCUUGUGCCGGCGAUGGUUCAUUCAAAUUUCUGCCCUAUCAACUUUCGAUGGCAGGGUCUUGGCCUGCCAUGGUUACAACGGGUAACGGAGGGUUAGGGCUCGACCCCGGAGAAGGAGCCUGAGAAACGGCUACUACAUCCAAGGAAGGCAGCAGGCGCGCAAAUUACCCAAUCCCGAUGCGGGGAGGUAGUGACAAUAAAUACUGAUACAGGGCUCUUUCGGGUCUUGUAAUUGGAAUGAGUACAAUUUAAAUCCCUUAACGAGGAACAAUUGGAGGGCAAGUCUGGUGCCAGCAGCCGCGGUAAUUCCAGCUCCAAUAGCGUAUAUUAAAGUUGUUGCAGUUAAAAAGCUCGUAGUUGAACCUUGGGCCUGGCUGGCCGGUCCGCCUCACCGCGUGCACUGGUUCGGCCGGGCCUUUCCCUCUGGGGAAUCGCAUGCCCUUCACUGGGUGUGUCGAGGAACCAGGACUUUUACUGUGAAAAAAUUAGAGUGUUCAAAGCAGGCCUAUGCUCGAAUACAUUAGCAUGGAAUAAUAGAAUAGGACGUGUGGUUCUAUUUUGUUGGUUUCUAGGACCACCGUAAUGAUUAAUAGGGACAGUCGGGGGCAUCAGUAUUCAAUUGUCAGAGGUGAAAUUCUUGGAUUUAUUGAAGACUAACUACUGCGAAAGCAUUUGCCAAGGAUGUUUUCAUUAAUCAGGAACGAAAGUUAGGGGAUCGAAGACGAUCAGAUACCGUCGUAGUCUUAACCAUAAACUAUGCCGACUAGGGAUCGGACGAUGUUAUUUUUUGACUCGUUCGGCACCUUACGAGAAAUCA